GGACAAGGCCCGGGCGGCACAGGCCGCUCCACGGCACAGUGCCAGUCCUGGUAUGGACACCCAGAGCAGGAUGGAGAUGGGGCAGGGUGCUGCCCCCGAGGUAUUGUGGUGUGCCUCCUGACGCCCAUCCUCACAAUGCUGCAGGGCCCCUGGUGAAGGCAAAGACUGUGAAGAAGCCGGAGGGCACAGAUACCCCCCGCACCUCUCGUGCCAGUGCUCUCCAGGCAGUGGCUGCCUCGGUGCAGAGAGCGGUGGCUGUGGCAGGUGGUGAGGUGCCCGUCAGCCGUGGGGCCAUCGAGGGCAUCCUCAUUAAACACGUGCUGGACCCAAGUAAGUACAGCCCAGCCCAGCCCAGCCACCUUCUGCCCACUUUAGUCCCCAAAUUCAGGAGCCACCCUCAGGCAGGACGAGGUGGGAAAGGAGCUGGAGCUGCCUCUGGCCUCUCUUGCAGACAGCUCCAAGAUGGGCAGCAGAGCUGGUGACAAGCCAUAUACCCCAACUGCCUGCGAGGAGCCAGAGGCCAGGAGCAGAAGCCACAGCCUGAAGCCUCCCGCCCAGCCCAAGAACAGGGAACCACAAUUGCACCCCCAGGGCCAGCUGCAAGCAGCCACUGUCUACAGCCAGGACCCUGCGCCCCACCAGGUGAGCCCUCGAUGUGACACCUGGUGCAGCCCCAGGAGGAACUGUUGGGGUUCCCCUGGCAUGUUCAUUUGCCUUGGCCAUGAAAAGAAAACACAGGGUUCAGCUCCUGGGGGUUCACCACAUUACAACCCCCAAGAAACAGGCAAUCUUACCACCCUGAAAGGAUUGGUAUGUUUGGUGCAGGGUGGGUGAUGCAGGGGGAGAGGGCAAGGGCGGUGAAAUACCUGGCCACAGCCAUGGAUUCAGCCCGUGAGGGUGGCAGUGACCCCUGCCCACUCCCCCGGGGACAGGAGAAUGAGGAUGAGUGUGCAGCAUGCGGUGACGGUGGUGAGCUCAUCUGCUGUGACGGCUGCCCCAGGGCCUUUCACCUUGCCUGCCUGGUGCCCCCGCUGCCCCACGUCCCCAGGUGAGUCCCAGGCACGCAGCGAUGCCAGUGCCCCCGCUGCCCCACGUCCCCAGGUGAGUCCCAGGCACGCAGCGAUGCCAGUGCCCCCUGCCGUCCCUC
RNAcentral lists this long non-coding RNA (1147 nucleotides) under Zonotrichia albicollis (white-throated sparrow). Its description in RNAcentral is "lncRNA (ENSZALG00000010746.1)". Lineage: Eukaryota; Metazoa; Chordata; Aves; Passeriformes; Passerellidae. The record is from RNAcentral.